CUUUGUUGCAACAUAUCCUAGCCUCAAUUUUUUUUUUUAUUGGCUAAAUGCAGAACCUAUAGAAUCAAGCUCAAACUUUGCUAAAAUCAUCAUCGUGAAUUACAAAGAAGGUUCAAUGUCUCAGAUUAACAGUCAAAGUCUUGGUUAUAAUUACAAAUUGCUUAGUGAUGAAUGAUUAGGUAAAGGAAGUUGUUAGGAAAUUAUUAGAUAAGCAAUUGAAGGAAUGUUUGGCCUUUGUCAAUUAAAGUAGAUAGAUCCAUACAACUUGAUGUUAAAAUACACAAACAAUAGUUUUAUGGCUUCACUCCCCUAUAGGUGAAGAGAGUUCUAAUCAAACCCCCAUAAUGGUCCAUUAUCUUGGUUGUGAACAAUUUAUGAUAAGUUUACCUGUCAAAUGAAUAUGAAUUCCUGAUUAACUCUGCCAGCACUAGCAUAAGCUUCAGUCUUUAAUUCCAAAUACAUCUGUGUCCCUGUGAUUAUUUCCUACUUAGUUAUUAAUCCUCUUGUUGUUUCUCUCCAGAAGCUUCCAAAUCAGUUACCUUUUCAAACCCAAGUUCUGACAUGUCUUGCCUUGCCAUCAAGUUUUUUUCCAUGCGGCAUUCCAGGUAUUUUUUGGAGAAAUGUCUACAGUUUUCAGAUUGAUGGCCAGAAGAUCUGAGGCAAUUAAGGUAAUCUUUCUUCUCCUAAAACAACAAAUAAGGAACUAAGAAAACUCAAAUAUAAGUAGGGAAAUUAAAUAAUGAUGAUAGGCCUAAAUUGAUAAUAUUACUGGAAUAUUAAAACUCAAGUUAUGUCCAUGUUUAUCUUCAACACCACAUUAGCAUGAACACACACCACAUUGGAUUAUGGUUGAAACAAAAUGAAUAAUUUAUGAAAAAGCACAUAAUUGAAAAAGAGAUCAAUAUUCAAGAAUUUUUAGACCAUUAGCCUGCGAUAAUAAGAUCAACAUUUCUCUCUAAUCCAUUAAACAAGCAAGAAAUUGUUUCUACUACAAAAUCAUAAAUUUAUGGGGGCUUUAAAAAAAAAUUACCAAGUCACAUUCAUGCAUGUGGUCCAAAAGGAACACUCCUUUUUCUGGGGGUACAGGUCUUAGUCCUCUAUUUCCACCAAAUGCACCACCUGCCAAAAAUUCCUACCUUUGUAAGAAUACAGACUGAAUCCGUGAAAUACAGCAAGUGAAAAAGGUCUCCAUUUCUCUUUCUUCUCUAGAGGUAACCAAAAUUCGAACAUCAAAAGAGUUGAAAUGUUAGCUUUGAUUUCAAUGGAUCAUUGCCCUGGAGAAUAACAAUGUGUUAUCACAACAUAUAAGGUAGGUUAGGCAUACCCAAGAUAAACAAAUAUUCAAACUUGUUAUCUUACCCCAACAAGUGCAGGAGGGCAGUUUUUCUCAAUUUGGGCUUUCAGUGGAGAGGAAACAAUGUCUCUUUGUACACUUGCCUGUUGCUACUAUAUGAUUUUCCAUACGAAUCCCACCAAGAUAUAAAUAAACACUCAAAAAGAUCUUUGAUCAAGAUUUUUGUUUUUGUUUUAUUGGGAUUGAUCUUUGAUCAAGUAUACCAAUCACAGAACUAACACAAUCUUGAAUUAUCCAUCCAUCUAACAAUUUGGGGAAUAAUUACACAAGGAACACUCUUUCAGAGAUUUCUUGAUAACCCUAGUUCUUAUUUCAACAAGACAGCAAACAGAAAACAUAAAAAGGGGGGAAACAUUUGCCCAAUCAGAUGCACAUAUAAAGUAGAAACACUAGCAGAGCUUCUGUUUCACUAUUAAGAAAAGGGUAAAAAAAUUGCUAACAAAUACCUGGUAAAACAGAAGAUUGAAGUUUGCUUAAAUGAAAUAAGCCAAUUCAUUCAUGAAAAGAUUGAUAAGAAUAAAAUGCGAUUGUACCUGCACUCAUUGGAAUUAUUUUGAUGCUUUUUCUGCUGCGUGUUUAGGUUUUGCAAUCCGGUUGAGUUGGGGAGGGUUACAAUUUUUUU
This 1976-nucleotide unclassified non-coding RNA is filed under the name Hevea brasiliensis (rubber tree). Lineage: Eukaryota; Viridiplantae; Streptophyta; Magnoliopsida; Malpighiales; Euphorbiaceae. The record is from RNAcentral.